GGUUGUGGAGAAGCGGGGCUGGUGAGCCGCCCAGCGGCGUCCCGCCCGCCUGCUCCCGCCCCGGCUGGGCCCCAGCACAGCCCCGGCAGCGCGGGGGGUCUCUGGUUCCGGUCCUGGCCCCGGCUGCUGGCAGGUGGUGGCCCCACAGCCUGCCCCGCUGCCCCCAUCUGCUCGCUAUCUGUGCGUUCAAGUCUUCCCUUAACUUUGUCCCUGCCCGCUUGUUCGAGCCCCCUCACUGCUGGCCCUCUCACCUCAGAGCCCCUCCAAAUCUAACACCCCAAACCACUGAAGGUCCCGAUGCGGUCCAGUUUCAGCCCAAAGCAGCCCCUGGGCAUGGCUUUCCAGGCCCAAUCUCCAGGCAAUGCCCACUUGCGACUGGCGAGGGUCUUGCGCCAGAGAGAAGAACGGGCAGCUCUAGCUCCAGAUGGGAGGAAGGGGAGGGUGGAGGAGACCAACUGAGGACCAAAGCUGGACCCCUCCUUUGUGUCCUCUUCGGCCAGUGUGGACUCGGGCUCCAGGGGCAGCAACCGUGAAAGGAGCAUCUGGGAUAAACAGAAGGAAGAGGGGGGUGAGAGCAGAGAUCCCUUUGCUCCUGGCUAUAAGCUUUGUACCCCCUUGUACUCCACUGCCCGCACCCUCCUUAGGGGUCAGGCAGGACCUAAAGUGAUGUCUGCACACAGCACUGUGCCUGUGACAUUGCAUCCAGACAGAGGGAAGGGCUAGAUCACCAGCUCUUGCUGUCUGAAAUGACUUUGCUGUUGAUAACAGCAGGCAGGCACCUGCUGUGAACCUCUGCCUGCAUGCAGAUUGCCCUGCUCUUGUCAAGCCAUACACCUCCCUCCCAGUCCUGGAUUUGGAAGGUAACAGGCUUCGGUCCUUGCUCCUCUUGUGGAUGCUGAGCAGCUCUGCGUGUUCAGGCUGCUGUGUGGCAUUUCAUUUUUUCCAGAGGGCUGGUGGGAAGGAUGGAAGGAUGGACCCGUCUCAAACUGCUGGUAAGAGGGAGAGGCAGGAGCACAGCAGGUGUGAGGAAGGGGGACUCCCCAUCUGCUGGGAAUCCUCUAGAUCAUCUUUGCUGAUUGUACACCCCCAGCACUGCUGGAAGCCUGCAGACAAGGGUUGAGGGGUGCAUUGGGCGCAAUAGAGGCACAGCUUGGCUGCCCUAGGAAGCAGCCUAUGGUAACCGUUCCACAUCUGUCUCUCACAUGGAUGCUGAGCUAAGGCUGAAGAUGCCUUUGUGCAGCUCUUUGCGAUAGCGAGUUAACUGAAGCGGACACAGGCAUCUUCAGUGAGGAGUGAAAGUGGUGAGUCAUACCAGGAUCAGUCUUGUGAUUUUAGUUCACGUCCUGACUACUUCCCUGGAGCUUUCCCAGGGUUAUGUGAAGGCAAGGUGUUGGGGCUCAGGUUAGGGUUUGGGUAAGAGGGAGCUGUGUAGAUUUGAAAGCCAAAAAUAUUAUUGCUGAAACUACUGAGGAUAAAAGAUUUACUCAAGUGAAGAAGCCUUUAGCUGGCAUCCUGACUGUGGCUCUUGGCCUUAGAGUGUCUACUGAGGGGCAAUACUGAGCUUAGGAGCAAAAAUCCUGGCCAAACAGGAUACAUCUUCUCUCUGAAAUGUCAGAAUCAGGCAUUGAACAUGAUGAGAGAUACACCCGUGAUUUCUGGUUGUUGCUGACACAGAGCAGGGUUAGAUGGGGCAGGCUCUUUACCGUUACAAUCCUCUGCAGAGCACUAAAAAGCUUUUGUGUGUUUCCCAUCUUGAAAUGCUGAUGCUCUUUAGGAGCUGGGUUAUAAAGUCACCCUAGAGCUGAGGCUGCUGGACUGAAGGGGAGGGAGCAGUGAGAAUAUACAGCAGCCUCCAGUAGUUGAAAUUUGGGACCACCACUCAUUUGAGGUUCAAACACAACUUCCCCAAAUUGUCACUCCACUUCUGAAACCUCCCUCAGCUCUCUCCCAGUCCCUCCUACCUGUAGCCUCUGUCCUGGUAAGGACACAGUCUGAACGCUGGCAGAGAGCAGAACCAAGAGGAGGAAAAACGAACAAGGCCAUGACUGGAGCUCCAGCAUCUUCUUCUUAUCCCAGGGCUUGUGGGAGGUGAGGCAGGACAUGCAGCAUCUGUGUCGAAUGCAGUCCCUUGCCCUUCUCUGCCUUUAUAGCUUUGAUUCUGGCCAGUGCCUGGCCCCCAGCUCCCGCCUGAUCCACCCCCUGGAGCUCCUUAACCUUUCAGCCCUUUUGUCCAGGGUGAUAUAUUUCAGGGUGAGCUCAGCAAGACCCCUUCCUCUAAAGAAAAAGGACACAAAGGUGUUUACUGAGUGUCUGGAAAGACUAAUGUCUUCAACUCAACUCACUCAAUGUGAGUUGAGCUGCUGCUGCCCAGGACCUGGAGGUAUCUGUCAGGGUCAGGAACGGGGUGACACUUUGAAACAUGUACCAAAGGAGGAUAUUGAAGGCUGCAUUGUGUAACGGUAUUGAACAUACUCCUUGUAGGCAGAGUGCUGUUACUGCUGUUUCUCUAAUCAGCAUGAGCAUGAACUACAGCUCAGCUAGCAGUGGGCACACUGCUGGCUGCACAGAGCAGACACAGAUUCAGCUCUGUGACAAUACAGGCAUUUGGUUUUAGUAUUUAUAUUUUGGUGAGACGGUUGGCCUCGGAAUGAAGAGCUCCUGCUGCAGAAGGUGGGUGAAUUCCGGUACCAUAUGGAAUUUGUAGCAGUGACAAGCAGUGACUACAACCCUAGGUCUAGUACUAGUGGGUAUAUAAUAUGCAGGCUGGUUGUCCCAAGUCACCAUCUGGAGGACUGGAGUGAGUUUCCAGAGGAACCGUCACAGAAAAGACCUUGUCGAGGCUCAGCUUGCACUUUCUCAAGCUCAGGCACACAAUGGAAGCAGGACGGCAAGGAGCAGAUUCCUACCUCCUAAAUCUUCUGGCCAUUAGUUCCCCCCCUUUGUUUACCUCUCCCAUUUUAUUGUAGUUUCUCACCAGUUGAACAAGGCAAUGAGGUCACUGUUUGGAGAUUAGGGUGCAGAAGUCAGCCUGUGUGUGAAGACAGAAACUAAUCAGGAAGGUUUGUCAGGGGAGAGGGAUGGGGGGACUGUACCCCAGUACAGGAUUAGUAAUGGUUGUACUGGGUGAGUUUAAAACCACCUUAAACUUCCCUUUCUUCAGUACUGUUGCACAAAGCAGUUGGGUCAAAACUUGACAGGAAGUGUUGUGCUGCCUGCUUUUAUUUUUUACAAGGAAAGAAGAAAAUUAGAAAAAAAAAAAAAAGGUCUUUUUUUUUUUUCAAGGAAAUAAGAGAAGUAGAAAAAAAAAGUCUUUUGCAGAGACAACAAAAGUCACAGUUCGGAUAUUUGCUCUUCCUCCCUCCCUCUGUUCCUUCCUUCUGCACUUGCAGAUGCUGAUUUGUGGGUCCCUUUCUUUGCUGCCCAAGGAGCUAGAAAGUUUUAUGAACUGUUUUGCAACCAGUCCAUGAGAAGUGAGUAGGGGGCAUCACUCUGGAGCAUUGAUGCUGGAAGAAGGAGACACUUUGAAUAGGUGGGGAUAUCCAAUUUUGUUAGCUCUAGCUGAUAUCUGUGACCCAUGUCUGGUGCUGGUUCCAGAGCAAUGCACUGCUCUUGUGAUCCUGUCCCCUGUCACCCCCUCGCCUGGCCCAGCACUUGGAGGGGCUCCCUAGGUCCCUGCUAAUGUCCUUCACUGAGACCUUUCGUGGGGAACAGGAUUACUUUUAUACCAGCCUUUUACCUUCAUACCAGCCUUUUAAUCUACAAAGCACAGGUGACUGCUGGAGAGCCAUGGGAUGUGCUGUCCACGUGGGCAUUCAGACGGGGCGCCUGGGCACAAACAGAGUGUGGGAUGUGUGUACAGCCAUGUGCUGGGUGCAGUAGGGUAUGGAGCAUUGUGGUGUGAAAGAUUCAGAGGGGUGGAAAAGAAAGGAAGGAGGACAGGAAGUGAGCACGUGUUCAUUCCACAUGCAAGAUGUCCCAGAGGAUGCUGUUCUGUAUUUCCCAGUCACAUCUGACCAUCCAGGAGCUGAGUCAGCCUGCCAGAGCACUCAUGCUGCCGGCAAGAGAGCUGCAGGCAGGUGCAUCUCGGGUUGAACGCACUGGUUGCAGGAGUCAGGUCUUUCCUGAGUGAAAGGUAAGUACCAAAGCAACAACACUUUGUUUCUGAUACGAAAUGUAGCAGCAGCAUGACCUGGCAUCCUCUGAAUGUGGUGGCCCCCGUACUGCAAGAAUGCCAGAAAUGUGUUUGCAACUGCUCCAAAAUUCCAGUCCACUUGCACAAACACUGAGCCCUGCAGGGGUGGACAGGCUCGGAGAUCUCAAGUGACAAGUCCCCUCCUUAGGUCCAGCAAAAGCUGGCACUGGCAAGGGGGAAGGAGCCAUCACUGUCUCCUGCUAAACAAGAAACUUCAGAGACUGCAGAAAAUUUGCAAAUUUUCUUGCAGAUUCUUGUAAAUUCUUGCAAAUCCAGCAAAAAUUGGAUAAAAUGGUGCUCAAUUGCUCAGGUGCCAUGAUGUUGCAGCUGCUCUGUGUCCCAGAUCCUUGCUGGGACUGCAGUAGCACUGAAUAGUUGGUCUGACAUGUCCUGGCAGCGACUGUGAAGUGAAAAGGCUUUGGCAGACGAGUCCCCAGUUGCCCCAGUUUUCUCAGACUCAAAUAGGUUAUUGUCCUUUUUCCUCUCUGAUGCUAACAAGUUUCCUCUAUAAAAACCCUUCCCCCUCUGAUGCUAGGGCACUGAUCUGAGAGCUUGCAAGACCACCAGAAAAGUGGUCUCCUGCUAAAUCACAAUCAGUGUUUUACAAACAGUUGCUUGUAUAGGAAAGGAGCAGAGCAAGUGGAGAGUGGGAGGACCGGGAACUGAGUGAAGUACCCUGAGGGAACGCCCCUUGGCCCAUGGUGAUGGAAAGGGAUAAUGGUUGCUGCAGGCUCUAGAAGGAAGAGCAAUGCUCACAUUAUUCCACUGGUAUCAUUUGUAGGAAGUUCAGAGCAGCCAUGGUCAGGAGGCCCUCAGAGAAUGGAAACACCACUGAUCUUGGCAGUGAGUAAUCCCAAUGCCUCAGAAGCAAGGGAGUGACAUUAGUACUUCAGUAGCAAUUCCUGGUCAUUUUGGCAGCCACCAAAAUAUCUGCUUGUGAGGAACAGAAGGGCAGCAACCAUCUACUUUAAGCAGUAGCCACUGUGUAGUUGUCCAAAUCCCUUUUGGGUUUUGCCUCAUCUUUCUGCAGGACUUCUUGAUCCAUGACACAGGACUGCUAAUUUUUCCAAUGUCAGGAGAUGACAGUGAGGAGAGGGGUUGCUCCACCUGAAGAAGUUGCAGAAAGGGACCAACUGGAGCUCUCACUCACUGACUUUCCACUCUCACUUGUCCAGGCAGCGCAGUGUCAGGACAGAGCAAAAGACAGGGUGCAAAGCAGGGAAGGAGCCACCAUGUCACUCAUUUAGUGAUUGCCAAACCCUCCUCCAUCUCUCCCGAAGAAGUUUUGUACUGAAAAAGCAUGGCCUGAAGGUGAGCCAGUGCAUAAGAGUUUUAUGGCCACCUUGCUUCCUCUAUCCACCCAUUCAUAUUUCCCCUACUGCAGUAUUGUCAACAUUAUCUCACUUAUUGCACAGGCUUGUAAAACCUCGAGCCUGAGCAGACACCCAUACAUGCUGCCCUUUUCUUUUUUCAUUCCCAUAUGUGAGUGACAAACCCCGUGGGUGGUGGGGGAAUCACGUACUGUGUGCAUGACUGUGUCAUAUUUACUGCUGCUGCCUCUCUCUCCUGUAGCCUUCACUGAAUAUUUUACCAGCGAGGAAGGGAGAGAGAGAGGGGCAAUAUUGCUGUAGCUUUCUGAUCUUUGUAUUUCACGUGAUUGUCCUGUAGCUACUGGCAUGCUCUGGAUUUGGAGUGUAUCCGUACUGGUGUCUGGCUCUUAUGCCAGUGGUGGCAAGUGUGCAGGUAUUCUCACUGUGCCAUGGGACUCAGGUGUGGUGUUUGGUCCACAUUGCCCACUCCAGUAGAUACACCUGUCACCCCAUCACUACCCCCCAUUCUACUUGCUUCUACACCCAUUUAACAUGUUUAUGUCCAUUCAAGUAUUGGCAUGAAAAACCAUAGGCCCGGGUCCGUGCAAAGCUAUGCAAUUACUAAUGACUUUUCUUUUUUUUUUAAAUAGGGAUCAAAUUAAGCUACAGCAAUCCUUUAUUGCUAGUUAUGCAGCCAGGCCAGAGGGGAACUGAGCAGCGUGCUCUACUUCCUGGGUGAAGUAAGGGUAACCCCAAUGACUGUGGGAACUUGGUAGAUCCUCAGAGACAGAGAUUGCAGAAGAUCUGCAGGAAGCUGCAGAGAGGAGGAGGACCCUUCCUGUCCCUGCCCAGCUAGUGACUAGUCUGCUUUGUAGGCAGCUGACAGGGCAGUUCAAGCAGUGCCAGGACUGACUUGAACACUGAUGUGGCAUUCCUGGAAGAAAGAGGCCCCCAAUCUCUCAACUCUUCUUUGAUGAAAUCUGUCCAAGAAAAAGAUGCAGGUAACUUCCCCUCAGAGCCCUGCUGAGCUUUACAAGGCAAGAGCUCCUAAAAAGAUCAAACAUAAAAAUGCCUAAUCCCAGCAAAAUCGUAUUGGUCCUGUGUUGAAAGAGGCUGAAUAGUGUAUUAUAAGCAUGUACAAAAUGAGAAAAGAAUGAGAAGUAGUUUGGCUCUUCUUAGAAAGAGUUUCUUUCAAAGAUUUAUUUUCUUUUUUUUUUUUAAUAAAAGCAGCUUACUCUUAUCUGCAAAGCCAGGGCAAAAU
Molecule: long non-coding RNA, 6763 nt
Organism: Chiroxiphia lanceolata (lance-tailed manakin)
Lineage: Eukaryota; Metazoa; Chordata; Aves; Passeriformes; Pipridae
Exons: 3
Source: RefSeq, a predicted model, not a curated record